GACGAACGCUGGCGGCGUGCUUAACACAUGCAAGUCGAACGGACAGGCCCUGCUUUUGUGGGGUGCUCGAGUGGCGAACGGGUGAGUAACACGUGAGUAACCUGCCCUUGACUUUGGGAUAACUUCCUGAAACUGGGGCUAAUACCGGCUAGGAGCUCCUGCUGCAUGGUGGGGGCUGGAAAGUUUCGGCGGUUGGGGAUAGACUCUCGGCUUAUCAGCUUGUUGGUGGGGUAGUGGCUUACCAAGGCUUUGACGGGUAGCCGGCCUGAGAGGGUGACCGGCCACAUUGGGACUGAGAUACGGCCCAGACUCCUACGGGAGGCAGCAGUGGGGAAUAUUGCACAAUGGGCGGAAGCCUGAUGCAGCAACGCCGCGUGCGGGAUGACGGCCUUCGGGUUGUAAACCGCUUUCGCCUGUGACGAAGCGUGAGUGACGGUAAUGGGUAAAGAAGCACCGGCUAACUACGUG
Molecule: ribosomal RNA, 468 nt
Filed under: uncultured bacterium
Lineage: Bacteria
Description: partial 16S ribosomal RNA
Rfam family: Bacterial small subunit ribosomal RNA
Source: RNAcentral